Long non-coding RNA from Peromyscus leucopus (white-footed mouse), 1014 nucleotides. RefSeq lists it as uncharacterized. The transcript is spliced from 3 exons. The record is from RefSeq and is a predicted model, not a curated record. NCBI's taxonomy places the organism in Eukaryota, Metazoa, Chordata, Mammalia, Rodentia, Cricetidae.
UGGGGAGCACAGAGGACUAGAGGGAGAGGCUCCGAUCAAGAGAGCAGGCGGGGAGGAGCGAACAGAGGAAGAUGAGGGAGGAGACGGAAGAGCUCUGCCUGGCCCGUCCUGCUGGAGUGUGAGCAGACCUCAGCCGCCAGGAGGAUGUGAUUUGAAGAGGAAUAUUAAGGAUGCUACAGAACUCUCUGUGCCCUUCAUCCAGCUUCUCCAGUGUCCACGUGGUAAAUUGCCAUGGUGCAUCCAUGCAGAUAAAGCAAUCAACAUUGGGGCAACUCUAGCACAUUGCCCUCCCAUGAGCCUAGCCAUGCAGAGAAAGAGACAGCAACGUGGACAGAGCUACUUCCCACCACAGCAGCAACCCCUUCCUGCACGGUGCUGAAGGAUCUUGGGUCUGAGGAGCACAGUCAUGGUUAUGGCUUCCUGAUCCUGGCAUGCAGCCAACAUGGAUGAUCCUGGAAUCUGCUGGCUGGAUUCUGAAGCUGUUCCUUGUCAGCUCCUUUGUUACCCCAGUUCUUCGGUGAGCUUUCUGGGAAGCAGACACUGAAAAACAAAGCUUCCAACUUUGAAACAAGUUCCUAAGCACCAAUUCUUCAUCUUGAAUUCCUUUUUUGAUUUAAAUUACUAUAGUUGCUUCUAUUGUCUGCAAGUUAGGUGUGCCUGAAAUUCUUGCUAGAGAGAAAGAAAGUGAACUACGCAGAGCUAUGUGCCAGAGGAAGAGAGAAAUCAAAGAGGAGGCCUGAGCCACAGUAGGGAAGAAAAGGACACAGGAAAACAUGGACGGAAAUGGAAACGCAAGGAAGACGCCAGUGUGCAAAUAAUUAGAAGGUGUGUUCACACGAACCCUGAAAGAUGCAACUUAGGGAAAAAGAGAGUCAAGGUGGGGCUGGACAUGGGAUCUGGGAGUCAGUGUGCACACCUGUAAUUCCAGCAUCAGGAGACUAGAAGAGGCAGAUCAAGAACUCCAGGCCACCCUGGGUUGUAUAACAAGACACCCCUCCCCCCCCCAAAAAAAAG